Molecule: non-coding RNA, 214 nt
Organism: Pelobates cultripes (western spadefoot toad)
Lineage: Eukaryota; Metazoa; Chordata; Amphibia; Anura; Pelobatidae
Source: the annotation of a GenBank genome assembly
CAGUACAGAGACACUUCCACAUUAUGGCAUUCCCAAGCAAUCAUGUGGUCUACAAGAAAGAGAAACUAAGCAGGAAAAGACACUUAAUACUUUUACAGACAGAUAUAUAGAAAAUUUAUGUUUAAGACAAAAUGGAACUUGGGCUUAUAGCAAAUAUAUUAUUGCAAAUAGCUGACAUGUUAACCAAUUUUAAACAGACUAACCAGCCUGUCAU